GCGGUCGGUCGGCGCCUAUUCUCGGGCUGUUUGGCGGACGAAGCUUCACAAAAGAUGUCUAAGCAACAGCCAACUCAGUUUAUAAAUCCAGAAACACCUGGCUAUGUUGGAUUUGCAAAUCUCCCCAAUCAAGUUCACCGAAAAUCAGUGAAAAAAGGUUUUGAGUUCACACUGAUGGUGGUCGGUGAAUCAGGUCUAGGAAAAUCGACUCUCAUAAACAGCCUAUUCCUAACUGAUCUGUACCCAGAAAGAGUCAUACCUGGAGCAGCAGAAAAAAUUGAAAGAACCGUCCAGAUUGAGGCUUCAACUGUUGAAAUUGAAGAGCGAGGGGUCAAGCUACGCCUGACAGUGGUAGAUACCCCUGGCUAUGGUGACGCUAUCAACUGCAGAGAUUGUUUUAAGACAAUUAUCUCCUAUAUUGAUGAGCAAUUUGAGAGGUACCUGCAUGACGAGAGCGGCUUGAACAGGCGGCACAUCAUUGAUAAUAGGGUGCAUUGUUGCUUUUACUUUAUUUCACCUUUUGGACAUGGGUAAGUAAUUGUUUAUCAUGGGGAAAUGCUUUACUACGUGG
RNAcentral lists this small RNA (571 nucleotides) under Pan troglodytes (chimpanzee). Its description in RNAcentral is "retained intron". Lineage: Eukaryota; Metazoa; Chordata; Mammalia; Primates; Hominidae. The record is from RNAcentral.